GGUAAGGUGGCCGAAGUAGGUGCCGAGUUGUAGCCUCGGUCAUAAAGGUCAAUUCCUUUCCUUAUCA
This 67-nucleotide transfer RNA is filed under the name Eurycea quadridigitata. RNAcentral's name for it is "tRNA-Tyr". The record is from RNAcentral. Lineage: Eukaryota; Metazoa; Chordata; Amphibia; Caudata; Plethodontidae.